RNAcentral lists this ribosomal RNA (495 nucleotides) under uncultured bacterium. Its description in RNAcentral is "partial 16S ribosomal RNA". It matches the Rfam family "Bacterial small subunit ribosomal RNA", at positions 28 to 507 of the family's 1533-position model. The record is from RNAcentral.
GACGAACGCUGGCGGCGUGCCUAAUACAUGCAAGUAGAACGCUGAAGGAGGAGCUUGCUCUUCUGGAUGAGUUGCGAACGGGUGAGUAACGCGUAGGUAACCUGCCUGGUAGCGGGGGAUAACUAUUGGAAACGAUAGCUAAUACCGCAUAACAGUAGAUGCUGCAUGACAUUUGCUUAAAAGGUGCAAUUGCAUCACUACCAGAUGGACCUGCGUUGUAUUAGCUAGUUGGUGGGGUAACGGCUCACCAAGGCGACGAUACAUAGCCGACCUGAGAGGGUGAUCGGCCACACUGGGACUGAGACACGGCCCAGACUCCUGCGGGAGGCAGCAGUAGGGAAUCUUCGGCAAUGGACGGAAGUCUGACCGAGCAACGCCGCGUGAGUGAAGAAGGUUUUCGGAUCGUAAAGCUCUGUUGUAAGAGAAGAACGAGUGUGAGAGUGGAAAGUUCACACUGUGACGGUAUCUUACCAGAAAGGGACGGCUAACUACGUG